CGCCAGUGUGAUGGAUACUCGCCAUGCUAAUACCGAGAGUGCGUUGCUGGUAGACUUCAUUGUCCCAGCCAGC
RNAcentral lists this small RNA (73 nucleotides) under Spisula solidissima (Atlantic surf clam). The record is from RNAcentral. Lineage: Eukaryota; Metazoa; Mollusca; Bivalvia; Venerida; Mactridae.